This 514-nucleotide ribosomal RNA is filed under the name uncultured bacterium. Its description in RNAcentral is "bacterial SSU rRNA". It matches the Rfam family "Bacterial small subunit ribosomal RNA", at positions 29 to 519 of the family's 1533-position model. The record is from RNAcentral.
AACGAACGCUGGCGGCGUGCUUAAUACAUGCAAGUCGAACGUGAAUCCCGACUUCGGUUGGGAUGAAAGUGGCGAACGGGUGAGUAACACGUAAGUAAUCUGCCUUCAAGUUUGGGAUAACCCUGCCAACGCGGGGCUAAUACCGGAUGUGGUCCAGCUGACACAUGUUGGCUGGAUUAAAGGUCGCGAGGCCGCUUGGAGAUGAGCUUGCGGCCCAUUAGUUAGUUGGUGAGGUAACGGCCCACCAAGACGAAGAUGGGUAGCCGGCCUGAGAGGGUGUACGGCCACAUUGGGACUGAGAUACGGCCCAGACUCCUACGGGAGGCAGCAGUAGGGAAUUUUGCGCAAUGGACGGAAGUCUGAUCCAGCAACGCCGCGUGAACGAGGGAGCCCUUCGGGGUGUAAAGUUCUUUUCUAUUACGAGCAGUGCUAUAUAUAUGGAUAGGUAUAAUAUUAGAGGGAUAGGUAGUAAUAGGAAUAAGGACAACGGCUAACUCCGUGCCAGCAGCCGACG